GAUAACCGUAGUAAUUCUAGGGCUAAUACGUGCGAAGCGCCCGAAGCCGCGAGGCGACGGGCGUUCUCGCCGGAUGUAGGAACCGACCCGGGGACCGCCGGGGCAACCCGGCGCCCCGAGACGGGGCGAACCACGGUGAAAUGACGGAUCGUCGGCCCCGCGCCGGCGACUCGCCGAAUGAGUUUCUGACCUAUCAACUCGAGACGGCGGGGUAGAGGCCCGCCGCGGUAACGAACGGGUAACGGGGAAUCAGGGUUCGAUUCCGGAGAGGGAGCCCGAGAAACGGCUACCACUUCCAAGGAAGGCAGCAGGCGCGCAACUUACCCUAAUCUCGAUUCGAGGAGGUAGUGACAAGAAAUACCGAUGCGGGACCCUACGGGUGCCGCGUUCGGAAUGAGUACGAUUCGAACCACCUAACGAGGAACGAUCGGAGGGCAAGUCUGGUGCCAGCAGCCGCGGUAAUUCCAGCUCCAAUAGCGUACGUUAAAGUUGCUGCAGUUAAAAAGCUCGUAGUUGAACGUUC
This 523-nucleotide ribosomal RNA is filed under the name uncultured eukaryote. RNAcentral's name for it is "bacterial SSU rRNA". It matches the Rfam family "Eukaryotic small subunit ribosomal RNA", at positions 142 to 643 of the family's 1831-position model. The record is from RNAcentral.